AAGUUUCUCUGCAAACUGAGUUGCAGGAACUCUCUCCAAACCGUGAGGUGUCAAAAGGAGAAGAUGACACCUGUCCUACUCAUUAAAACUCAAAUUCAAGUGAACUCUGUUAACCCAAACGUUUAGGCACUCUCCCGUUAUAUUUUUUUUAUUAAAACCAUCAGUCCUUUCUCUCUCUCUCUCUCUCUCUCUCUCUCUCUCUCCUUCAAAGAAAAUCGGCUCCCAUCUCUGUUUUGUUCCAGACCCUUCUCCCUAUAUUCAAUCGUUUUCAGCCCCAAACUCCACCAACCAAUCUACCUCCACCGGUCCCCCCGAUUUGUCUCUUGUCUCCGACGAUCCCACCCAUCCACCACUCUCCACCAUUCCACCCAUCGAAUCCCUCAUUCUAUCGUUCCCAUCCCUCACCCACAAUGUCGCCGCUGAGAACUACCCCUCCAAACCCUUCUUUUUGUGGCAAUCCCUCCCUGUGUGAUGAAGAUGAUUAUUUUCGUGGUUAUAUUAGUGACGAAGAUAAAGACGAUUCUUUUUGCAGUUAUCCCCAUCACAAAGAUGAUUUCGUUCGCGGUAAUGACUAUGACGAAGAGAAAGGCGACUGCUUAACCUUUUUCGAGGGAAUGGGAUGACAAGGGUAAGCAGGAAAAUGAAAAGAAAACCAAGAACUGAAAAUGAACGAGAAGACAAAAGUUAUUUCAACUUUGCUGUGUGGAGUAUAUGGAAGAGCAAAAAUUCAUACGUCUUCAACAGGAAAAAUCCAAAUCCAAAUCUGCCUAUGGAGAUCCACAACCAAACAUUGGAGUUUAUGAAAUUGUGUGACUUCACCACGAAAUCCACGAGUUUAUGUAUGCCUUGCCUUAUUGUUGAGUUAGAAUAGGCGCUGAUUUGAUAGCUAGAAUAGGUGCUGACCAAGAACUAGAUUUCAUUUUGUUUACAAGUCCACCUGUGGACUUAGCUAAGGCUUUGGAGGAUUUCUGUAAUGGUGUAUUUUUUAACAAACUUUGUAUUGAACUGGAUGUAGCUUUUUAUUUUAAUGUUAUUGUCUUUUAACCAAAAAUAAAAAAAAAUUUCCUUUGGACUUUGUAUA
Quercus robur (English oak) is the source of this 1081-nucleotide long non-coding RNA. RefSeq lists it as uncharacterized. NCBI's taxonomy places the organism in Eukaryota, Viridiplantae, Streptophyta, Magnoliopsida, Fagales, Fagaceae. The record is from RefSeq and is a predicted model, not a curated record. The transcript has 2 exons.